UACGUAGGAUCCAAGCGUUGUCCGGAUUUACUGGGUGUAAAGGGUGCGCAGGCGGAAUGGUAAGUCAGAGGUGAAAUCUCAUCGCUCAACGGUGAAACUGCCUUUGAUACUAUCAUUCUUGAGUCCGAUAGAGAUCUGUGGAAUUCCGAGUGUAGCAGUGAAAUGUGUAGAUAUUCGGAAGAACACCAGUGGCGAAGGCGGCUCACUGGCCCGAUACUGACGCUGAGGCACGAAAGCGUGGGGAGCAAACAGG
Molecule: ribosomal RNA, 253 nt
Filed under: uncultured bacterium
Lineage: Bacteria
Description: partial 16S ribosomal RNA
Rfam family: Bacterial small subunit ribosomal RNA
Source: RNAcentral